CCUUUCUCACCGAUCCCAACCCCGUUCCCUCCCCCCCCCCCCCCCCCAUCCAAAAAACAAAAUCCCUAACCCCUCGGCACCCAUCAUCCCAAUCCCCCUUCCUCCCCGAUCCCAACCCCCCCUUCCGCCGCCGCCGCCAUCUGAAAGUGGAAUCCCUCUCUAAUCGCUCUCAGCUCUCCCGUCGGUGGUCGGCCGGCCGGCUAGUCUCUCUCCUCGGCUGUUAACGAGAUCUCCGCCGUCGCCUUUGCGUUUUGAAGUGGAAUCCCUCUCUAAUCGCUCUCAGCUCUCCCGUUGGUGGUCGGCCGGCUGGCCAAUCUCUCUCCUCGGCUGUUAACAAGGUUCGUUCUCUCUCUCUCUCUCUCUCUCUCUCUUCCCCAAAAUCCUCACCAUAGAUCUCAUUUCGUGGCGCUUCUCCGAAGAAAACCACCACCACUCUGUUCCCAGAUCUCCGAAAGCAUCCGCCAAAAGGUGAGCUUUUCCCUCUUAGUUUUCUCUGCCAUCGUUUCAUCUCUUCUCUGGCUACGGUGGAAGGAAGCGUGGAACCAGAGAGAAGGAAGAGGAGACCAGAGCCCGGCUACGGUGAAACGAUCCGAGGAAGCCGCAUUUUGGUUUGAUUAGAUGGACUGCAGCGUGGAAGAUUGCAAAGAAGCUACUGCAGCCGAGUGCUUUCUGUAUCAUUUCUACUGUAAUUUUUAAUUUAUAAUUUAUAAGUAUACUUCCUGUGUUAUUUCUAUUGUAAAACAAAAAUCACAUAAAUUAUGCAUAUAUUGUAAUAUAUUGUAAUUUGUAAAAAAAAUCAAUAAAUAAGCAUCUGUUCUUCUUUUUGUGUUA
Molecule: non-coding RNA, 831 nt
Organism: Phoenix dactylifera (date palm)
Lineage: Eukaryota; Viridiplantae; Streptophyta; Magnoliopsida; Arecales; Arecaceae
Source: RefSeq, a predicted model, not a curated record